GCCCCCGUAGCUUAAUGGAUAAAGUGCAGACCUGCGGAGUCUGACAUAGAGGUUCGAUUCCUCUCGGGGGCA
This 72-nucleotide transfer RNA is filed under the name bacterium. RNAcentral describes it as "tRNA-Arg". It matches the Rfam family "tRNA". Rfam says of the family: Transfer RNA (tRNA) molecules are approximately 80 nucleotides in length. The record is from RNAcentral.